RNAcentral lists this ribosomal RNA (254 nucleotides) under uncultured bacterium. Its description in RNAcentral is "partial 16S ribosomal RNA". It matches the Rfam family "Bacterial small subunit ribosomal RNA", at positions 524 to 776 of the family's 1533-position model. The record is from RNAcentral.
UACGGGGGGAGCAAGCGUUGUUCGGAUUUACUGGGCGUAAAGGGCGCGUAGGCGGUCAGCACAAGUCAGUUGUGAAAUCUCCGGGCUUAACUCGGAAAGGUCAACUGAUACUGUGCGACUAGAGUGCAGAAGGGGCAACUGGAAUUCUCGGUGUAGCGGUGAAAUGCGCAGAUAUCAGGAGGAACACCGGUGGCGAAGGCGGAUCUCUGGGCCUGUCCUGACGCUGAGGCGCGAAAGCUAGGGGAGCGAACAGG